Molecule: ribosomal RNA, 440 nt
Filed under: uncultured bacterium
Lineage: Bacteria
Description: partial 16S ribosomal RNA
Rfam family: Bacterial small subunit ribosomal RNA
Source: RNAcentral
CCUACGGGUGGCAGCAGUGAGGAAUAUUGGUCAAUGGGGGAAACCCUGAAGCAGCAACGCCGCGUGGAGGAUGAAGGUUUUAGGAUUGUAAACUCCUUUUGUGAGAGAAGAUAAUGACGGUAUCUCACGAAUAAGCACCGGCUAACUCCGUGCCAGCAGCCGCGGUAAUACGGAGGGUGCAAGCGUUACUCGGAAUCACUGGACGUAAAGAGUGCGCAGGCGGGCUUGUAAGUCAGAUGUGAAAUCCUGUAGCUUAACUACAGAACUGCAUUUGAAACUAUGAGUCUAGAGUGUGGGAGAGGUAGGUGGAAUUCUUGGUGUAGGGGUAAAAUCCGUAGAUAUCAAGAGGAAUACUCAUUGCGAAGGCAGCGUACCGGCGCCAGACUGACGCUGAGGCACGAAAGCGUGGGGAUCGAACAGGAUUAGAUACCCGAGUAGUC